GUUCCGUAGGUGAACCUGCGGGAGGAUCAUUACUGAGUGAGGGCCCCUCGGGGUCCAACCUCCCACCCGUGUUUAACGAACCUUGUUGCUUCGGCGGGCCCGCCUCACGGCCGCCGGGGGGCAUCUGCCCCCGGGCCCGCGCCCGCCGAAGCCACCUGUGAACGCUGUCUGAAGUAUGCAGUCUGAGACAAUUAUUAAAUUAAUUAAAACUUUCAACAACGGAUCUCUUGGUUCCG
This 236-nucleotide unclassified non-coding RNA is filed under the name plant metagenome. Its description in RNAcentral is "partial contains small subunit ribosomal RNA, internal transcribed spacer 1, and 5.8S ribosomal RNA". The record is from RNAcentral.